CUUCCUCGAUCUGCUGCGGUGCGAUGAAAUGGAUAUGGCUGUCCAUGCCGCCAGCGGUGACGAUCUUGCCUUCGGCGGCGAUCGCCUCCGUGCCCGGGCCGACGAUGAUGUUGACACCCGGCUGCAUGUCGGGAUUACCCGCCUUGCCGAUCGCGACGAUGCGCCCAUCCUUGAGGCCGAUAUCGGCUUUGUAGAUGCCCGAAUGAUCGACGAUCACCGCAUUGGUGAUGACCGUAUCGACCGCGCCAUCCGCCCGCGUCACCUGGCUCUGUCCCAUGCCGUCGCGGAU
RNAcentral lists this small RNA (289 nucleotides) under Rhizobium laguerreae. RNAcentral describes it as "5' ureB small RNA". It matches the Rfam family "5' ureB small RNA". Lineage: Bacteria; Pseudomonadati; Pseudomonadota; Alphaproteobacteria; Hyphomicrobiales; Rhizobiaceae. The record is from RNAcentral.